UGGCCUAGUGGUUGGUUUGAGACAUUGGAGUAUUCUCCUCUGAGGGUCUCAUGUUCGAUUUCCUCUGACGCUAAGGGCUAAGUCCAUUCAGAACUGUGUUCUAGCUUUAAAUUGGGACCUCCCAAUUGGGCGGUGGAAUUGGACCUCUUGAACUAGUUGGCUCAUGGGAUAUAUACAAAAUAAAUAAAUAAAUAAACUAUGUUUUUCCCAUGAAAUUAACGAAAAAUGAAAAUGUAAGUGAUCUUGACCCACACGAUAUUACAUUGUAUAUAUGUAUGUAGUCACAAAGCUUAAUUCUUAUAGAAACGAACGUCUAUGUAGAAACAUAUAUAAUCUGUCAUAUUAAGAACAUCAUCAUCACCAAUGAAACCCCCAACCACAUGAUGAAUCCAAGACCAGCAGCACCACCUUUAUUACCGGACGAAUUUGGUGACGGUGAAGGCGAAGGUGGCAUAGGCAUUGUAAUUAGAGGUGGGAGAACUAGGUCAUGCUUGUUUUGGACAACGACAGCCAGCUUUAAUCCCAUCUUGCAAUGACGCUUUGUUCCACUUAUGAAAUGAUAUACUCCUAUUUUAUCAAGCACAACCUUAGUGUUGCCGUCGUGGUGCUCCACAUGUUCUCCAUUUGUAUGACACAUUAUAUAAUCAUGCUCAUUCACUUCGUGCACUGAUUCUGUUUCGUUAUCGUACUCAAACACUGCAUGUAUACAUGCAUAAAUACGAGAAACAAAUUCAUCAUUUUUUAUAUGUAGUUAAGAAGUAAUUAAUUAAGAGGAAUGCUAUAUGGCUUACGGAUGGUAUCACCGACUGUGAAUUCGUGAGCAGAGGCCCAGCGGGCGAAUGCACGUCGUGAUGGAAGAGGAACCUUCCAGGAAUUGUGACUGUCUCCAAUCAGAUAAUCUGUGGAUUCAGAGUGGGAAAUUAGCAGCCACAUUGAGAAAAUGAUCAUCAACAAUAUUGGAGAAGAAGAAGCCAUAUUCAUGGCUAUGUUUUGUUUGUCUUAUUAGUGGUGAAAGACUGAUUAGAAUUUAGUAGCUUUUUAUAGGAUUGAAACACAACUUUCAAUUCAAUAUUUUUAAGAAAACAAUUAGGGAAUGUGAAAUUAUUAUUAUUAAUUAGGUG
This 1121-nucleotide long non-coding RNA is filed under the name Medicago truncatula (barrel medic). RNAcentral's name for it is "lncRNA gene27753". Lineage: Eukaryota; Viridiplantae; Streptophyta; Magnoliopsida; Fabales; Fabaceae. The record is from RNAcentral.